AGCGAACGCUGGCGGCAUGCUUAACACAUGCGAGUCGCACGGUCGGGUUUCGGCCCGGCAGUGGUGGACGGGUGAGUAACGCGUAGGGAUUUAUCCAUAGGUGGGGGACAACCGUGGGAAACUACGGCUAAUACCGCAUGACACCUGAGGGUCAAAGGCCGCGAGGCCGCCUAUGGAGGAGCCUGCGUCCGAUUAGCUAGUUGGUGGGGUAAAGGCCUACCAAGGCGGUGAUCGGUAGCUGGCUGAGAGGAUGAUCAGCCACACUGGGACUGAGACACGGCCCAGACUCCUACGGGAGGCAGCAGUGGGGAAUAUUGGACAAUGGGCGCAAGCCUGAUCCAGCAAUGCCGCGUGGGUGAAGAAGGUCUUCGGAUUGUAAAGCCCUUUCGGCGGGGACGAUGAUGACGGUACCCGCAGAAGAAG
RNAcentral lists this ribosomal RNA (423 nucleotides) under uncultured bacterium. Its description in RNAcentral is "bacterial SSU rRNA". It matches the Rfam family "Bacterial small subunit ribosomal RNA", at positions 30 to 490 of the family's 1533-position model. The record is from RNAcentral.